This 2157-nucleotide ribosomal RNA is filed under the name Triticum aestivum (bread wheat). Its description in RNAcentral is "partial small subunit ribosomal RNA". Lineage: Eukaryota; Viridiplantae; Streptophyta; Magnoliopsida; Poales; Poaceae. The record is from RNAcentral.
AUGAGCACGGCCAUGGCAUCACUGGUGCUUGCAGUGCUCGUCUUGCCGUCGGCAACAACUGCCGCGGUGACUACGGCUAGAAGAAACUGCUCUAACACCUGUGGUGAGGUUGAUGAGAUACCUUAUCCGUUCGGAUUAGGUCCUUCGUGCUCCUUACCUGGUUUCAGCCUCACUUGUGCGGACAACGCCAGUUACCCCAUGCUGGGCAACCUACCCAUCGAGAGCUUUUACAUCUUUGAUUCCAACAACCUGUACGCCAAUAUCUCGUACUCCUACAACUACCUGUGCGCCAGGAUCUCCUACACCGUGAAGAUGAUUCCCGGUGUCCGCGACUACUCUGUUCACUGGGAAGCUCCGGCCCGGCACUUUGCCAUGUCUGGCUCGUCAAACAUGUUGUUCGUCGUUGGCUGCGGCGUCAAGGCCUCGCUGUUCAUCGGCAACUCGACCGUUGAGGUCGGGAACUGCUCCGUCGUCUGUGCCGAAGCUCGAAUCAUGGAGAAGCUGCCCAAGGGUGUAUGUGAUGGCAUCGGAUGCUGUUUCAUCGACAUACAGGUGAACCUAAGGGCGUUCACCCUCAACAUCUCACGCACCAGCGGUUCUGCACGCUCGAAGGAGGUGUACGCGUUCAUCAGCGGAGGUGGUAAGGACCAAAUAUUCUGGCCGAUUGACGCCCUGAGAUCUUUGUUGCCGGAAUAUCUCGAGGGGUACGAAUUUGCUACCCUGGAAUGGGCUAUUCCCUACAAGCCGAACUGUAAGCGCGCCAUGGAGGACAGGGCAAGCUAUGCAUGCGUUGCUAAUCACAGUGCCCGGAAUACGAACCACCUCAGCCAUCUCCACCACCUCAACGAGCAGCCGAAGAAGGAUUGUGACAUGUCGUGCGGGAACGUGAGCAUCCCGUUCCCCUUUGGAAUAAAGCUAGGCUGCUUUGCAACUGAACCAUUCUAUCUCAAAUGUCUUCGAGCCUUGCCGGGGACUGGUCUUCCGGUGCUUGAACUGAAUGGUAGUUUGGUCGUCAGUGACAUAUCUAUUGACGAAGGUUACCGCUGCAAGUGCUCUUCUGGUUUUAAAGGGAAUCCUUAUAUUAAAGAUGGAUGCACAGAUAUAAACGAGUGCCUGCAGCCAGAUAAAUACACCUGCAACGGUAUCACCAUUGGACUAAGCAGUGGUGGGGGCAUUCUAUUUCUUGCCGUAUUUGUUGCUAUUCUUAUACGAAGAUGGAAUCGGGCCAUUCAGAAGCGCUUGAGAAAAAGGUAUUUUCGGAAGAACAAAGGCAUUCUGCUAGAACAGCUUAUCUCUUCAGACAAAAGUGCCAACGAUAGCACAAAGAUAUUCUCCCUGGAGGAUCUGGAGAAGGCAACAAACAAUUUUGAUCAGGCCCGUGUGGUCGGACGGGGUGGCCAUGGCACAGUCUACAAGGGCAUCUUGAUCGACCAGCGCGUGGUGGCCAUCAAGAAAUCAACACUCUCGGUGAUCAGCGAGAUCGAAGAGUUCAUCAACGAGGUGUCCAUCUUGUCGCAGAUCAACCAUCGAAACGUAGUGAAGCUCCAUGGAUGUUGCCUCGAAUCCGAGGUCCCUCUGCUUGUCUAUGAGUUCAUCUCCAAUGGCACGCUCUACGACCUUCUGCACCGCCCCUCCGAGCAAAACAGUAGCAACUUAUUGGUGCCAUUGUCCUGGGAGGAGCGCCUGAGGAUCGCCACCGAGAUCGCGGGUGCGCUCACGUACCUGCACUCUUCGGCUUCGGUGUCGGUCCUCCAUAGAGAUGUCAAGUCCAUGAACGUGCUCCUGAACGACAGCUACACCGCAAAGGUCUCAGAUUUUGGCGCAUCGAGGCUGAUCCCCAUCGAUCAAACGCACCUGGUCACCGCCGUUCAGGGUACAUUUGGGUACCUGGAUCCGGAGUAUUACUACACGGGCCAACUCAACGACAAGAGCGAUGUUUACAGUUUUGGUGUGAUACUUGUUGAGCUACUGACGAGGAGGAAGCCCAUCAUCCAGAACGAGCAUGGCGAGAAGCAGAACUUGUCAAACUACUUCUUGUGCGCCAUGAGGGAGAGGCUCCUCGAGGAAACGGUGGACGCGCAGAUCCUGGGGGGUGGAAGAGAUGAAGGGGUUCUGUGCAUGGCUCAGUUGGCAGAGGAGUGCCUCAGACUGACUUGA